Molecule: ribosomal RNA, 570 nt
Filed under: uncultured bacterium
Lineage: Bacteria
Description: partial 16S ribosomal RNA
Rfam family: Bacterial small subunit ribosomal RNA
Source: RNAcentral
UGGGGAAUAUUGCACAAUGGGCGAAAGCCUGAUGCAGCAACGCCGCGUGAGGGACGACGGCCUUCGGGUUGUAAACCUCUUUUAGCAAGGAAGAAGCGAAAGUGACGGUACUUGCAGAAAAAGCGCCGGCUAACUACGUGCCAGCAGCCGCGGUAAUACGUAGGGCGCAAGCGUUAUCCGGAAUUAUUGGGCGUAAAGAGCUCGUAGGCGGUUUGUCGCGUCUGCUGUGAAAACCCGAGGCUCAACCUCGGGCCUGCAGUGGGUACGGGCAGACUAGAGUGCGGUAGGGGAGAUUGGAACUCCUGGUGUAGCGGUGGAAUGCGCAGAUAUCAGGAAGAACACCGAUGGCGAAGGCAGAUCUCUGGGCCGUAACUGACGCUGAGGAGCGAAAAGGGUGGGGAGCAAAACAGGCUUAGAUACCCUGGUAGUCCACCCCGUAAACGUUGGGAACUAGUUGUGGGGUCCAUUCCACGGAUUCCGUGACGCAGCUAACGCAUUAAGUUCCCCGCCUGGGGAGUACGGCCGCAAGGCUAAAACUUAAAUGAAUUGACGGGGUCAUAGCUGUUUCCU